Molecule: transfer RNA, 85 nt
Filed under: Felis catus (domestic cat)
Lineage: Eukaryota; Metazoa; Chordata; Mammalia; Carnivora; Felidae
Rfam family: tRNA
About the family: Transfer RNA (tRNA) molecules are approximately 80 nucleotides in length. Their secondary structure includes four short double-helical elements and three loops (D, anti-codon, and T loops).
Source: Rfam by way of RNAcentral
ACUUGGGUGGCUCAGUCGGUUGAGCGUCUGACUUCGGCUCAGGUCAUGAUCUCACAGUUUGUGAGUUCAAGCCUCGCGUCAGGCU